UGGGGAAUUUUGGACAAUGGGCGAAAGCCUGAUCCAGCAAUGCCGCGUGUGUGAAGAAGGCCUUCGGGUUGUAAAGCACUUUUGUCCGGAAAGAAAUCCUUGGCUCUAAUACAGUCGGGGGAUGACGGUACCGGAAGAAUAAGCACCGGCUAACUACGUGCCAGCAGCCGCGGUAAUACGUAGGGUGCAAGCGUUAAUCGGAAUUACUGGGCGUAAAGCGUGCGCAGGCGGUUUGCUAAGACCGAUGUGAAAUCCCCGGGCUCAACCUGGGAACUGCAUUGGUGACUGGCAGGCUAGAGUAUAGCAGAGGGGGGUAGAAUUCCACGUGUAGCAGUGAAAUGCGUAGAGAUGUGGAGGAAUACCGAUGGCGAAGGCAGCCCCCUGGCCAAGUACUGACGCUCAUGCACGAAAGCGUGGGGAGCAAAACAGGAUUAGAUACCCCUGGUAGUCCACGCCCUAAACGAUGUCAACUAGUUGUUGGGGAUUCAUUUCCUUAGUAACGUAGCUAACGCGUGAAGUUGACCGCCUGGGGAGUACGUCGCAAGAUUAAAACUCAAAGAAUUG
Molecule: ribosomal RNA, 564 nt
Filed under: uncultured bacterium
Lineage: Bacteria
Description: partial 16S ribosomal RNA
Rfam family: Bacterial small subunit ribosomal RNA
Source: RNAcentral